UACGAAGGUGGCAAGCGUUACUCGGAAUUACUAGGCGUAAAGGGCAGGUAGGUGGUUCGGUAAGUCUGUUGUGUAAGCUCCCGGCUUAACUGGGAGAGGUCAACAGAAACUACCGGACUUGAGUAUAGGAGAGGGUACUGGAAUUCCCGGUGUAGCGGUGAAAUGCGCAGAUAUCAGGAGGAACACCAAUGGCGAAGGCAGCUCGCUGGAACGGUACUGACGCUGAGGCGCGAAAGCGUGGGGAGCGAACAGG
This 253-nucleotide ribosomal RNA is filed under the name uncultured bacterium. RNAcentral describes it as "partial 16S ribosomal RNA". It matches the Rfam family "Bacterial small subunit ribosomal RNA", at positions 524 to 776 of the family's 1533-position model. The record is from RNAcentral.